UGUGCCUAAUACAUGCAAGUCGAACGCGUUGGCCCAACUGAUUGAACGUGCUUGCACGGACUUGACGUUGGUUUACCAGCGAGUGGCGGACGGGUGAGUAACACGUAGGUAACCUGCCCCAAAGCGGGGGAUAACAUUUGGAAACAGAUGCUAAUACCGCAUAACAAUUUGAAUCGCAUGAUUCAAAUUUAAAAGAUGGUUUCGGCUAUCACUUUGGGAUGGACCUGCGGCGCAUUAGCUUGUUGGUAGGGUAACGGCCUACCAAGGCUGUGAUGCGUAGCCGAGUUGAGAGACUGAUCGGCCACAAUGGAACUGAGACACGGUCCAUACUCCUACGGGAGGCAGCAGUAGGGAAUCUUCCACAAUGGGCGCAAGCCUGAUGGAGCAACACCGCGUGAGUGAAGAAGGGUUUCGGCUCGUAAAGCUCUGUUGUUAGAGAAGAACGUGCGUGAGAGCAACUGUUCACGCAGUGACGGUAUCUAACCAGAAAGUCACGGCUAACUACGUGCCAGCAGCCGCGGUAAUACGUAGGUGGCAAGCGUUAUCCGGAUUUAUUGGGCGUAAAGCGAGCGCAGGCGGUUUGAUAAGUCUGAUGUGAAAGCCUUUGGCUUAACCAAAGAAGUGCAUCGGAAACUGUCAGACUGGAGUGCAGAGGAGGACAGUGGAACUCCAUGUG
This 676-nucleotide ribosomal RNA is filed under the name Limosilactobacillus mucosae. RNAcentral's name for it is "bacterial SSU rRNA". It matches the Rfam family "Bacterial small subunit ribosomal RNA", at positions 43 to 675 of the family's 1533-position model. The record is from RNAcentral. Lineage: Bacteria; Bacillati; Bacillota; Bacilli; Lactobacillales; Lactobacillaceae.